This 379-nucleotide long non-coding RNA is filed under the name Cyanistes caeruleus (blue tit). RNAcentral's name for it is "lncRNA (ENSCCEG00000002971.1)". Lineage: Eukaryota; Metazoa; Chordata; Aves; Passeriformes; Paridae. The record is from RNAcentral.
UCUGUAUGCAGUUCUGAGUACUGAACACCACAUACUGCUUUUGAAUAACAGAUGAUUUCGUUUGGAGGACAUAACUGCUAAACCCUUCCCCUUCUCCCUGGCUCUCUGGCAUUCCAGCUGAGAUAAUCAGUAGAAAGGGACUUGGCACCAAAUCUUGUCAGUCGACUGAUCUACCCAGACGCCACUGCUUUACACAGCACAAUCCGCCACAGGUAUGCACUGCUCCAAGGAUUAACAUCAAUCCAAAUGGUUUAGUCAUCAAUCCCCAGGGGAAAUAACUUGUAUAUUAUUUUACUCAUUUCAGUGACAAGUGAUAUCACAAUUAAAGAAACUUGCAGAGCAAAGUAGUAGAGUAAGAAACUCACUAUUGGAAUGUGAC